GCAACAUGGUUAUGGGUACUACAGUGGAUGUGAGUGUGUAGACCUUGUACAAUAGAGCUUAUAGGCUAAUGAGAAGACAGGAAGAAACAACAGGAACACAUAUAGCUGGAAUGCAGAUGGGAUCUGUGCUACUUACGCUAGCCAUGGGAUGAUUAGAACAAGAUAAGAGACAUGAGGAAGACUUCUUCAAGGAGGUGCUCAAGCCAUGUUUUGGAAAAGAGAACUCAAGAGUAGACUUUGAGUCUUUGCUUCAGAUGCAGAUCAAGAUGUGGCAACCUGUUGUGGAGAACUGGGUCCCUUGAGCCUGUGCUGUCUCUUUUUUUCUGGUGGCUUUGUCAUUUGGAACAAUGCAUAAUGGGCUGGAGGCUGAGAAACUCUGAGCUGAGGUGACACAAGGAUGACAGGAACAGUUAUCAGGGAAGCACACUGAUCGACUGAGCUGCCUGCUCCUGGCCUUCUGGAUCCUCCUCAGUUCCUGCUUAUCUCUAGGCCAGGCUCUCAACUCUGUCAAUUCUGGCAAGUAGAGCUGCAGCUGUCUGGCGCCACUGUAAUGCUGUCUCCUCCUCUGAGUGAGUUCAUCCUGGAAACAUUUUCUCCCAUAAGACAUGCACAGGUCUUACGUUUACAUGUUUCACUGAAAGAAAUUUGAUUCCACUGCUGGGAUGACAAGGAAGACUGAAGAAACCUAAUCCUAGGUGCUGCCACUGGGACAAACAAGAAGCACCAGACACAGUGCUGUUUUAGGGUGGGGCAGAAUUAUGCUGAGGGAAAAGUUAUUAUCACUCUUUAAGGCCAAGGAAACCACAAUUUUUAAAGAAGCUUCUAGAAAUUCUACCCAGUAGAAAAUAAAGAUAAACUUCUGUAAG
Molecule: long non-coding RNA, 866 nt
Filed under: Homo sapiens (human)
Lineage: Eukaryota; Metazoa; Chordata; Mammalia; Primates; Hominidae
Description: long intergenic non-protein coding RNA 2532
Source: RNAcentral